This 815-nucleotide ribosomal RNA is filed under the name uncultured bacterium. RNAcentral describes it as "bacterial SSU rRNA". It matches the Rfam family "Bacterial small subunit ribosomal RNA", at positions 1 to 796 of the family's 1533-position model. The record is from RNAcentral.
AAGUUGUCGGCUCAGGACGAACGCUGGCGGCGUGCCUAAUACAUGCAAGUCGAACGAGAAUUUCUUACACCGAGUGCUUGCACUCACCGUAAGAAAUUUGAGUGGCGGACGGGUGAGUAACACGUGGGUAACCUGCCCAAAAGAAGGGGAUAACAUUUGGAAACAAAUGCUAAUACCGUAUAACCAUGAUGACCGCAUGGUCAUUAUGUAAAAGGUGGUUUUGCUAUCGCUUUUGGAUGGACCCGCGGCGUAUUAACUAGUUGGUAGGGUAACGGCCUACCAAGGUGAUGAUACGUAGCCGAGUUGAGAGACUGAUCGGCCACAAUGGGACUGAGACACGGCCCAUACUCCUACGGGAGGCAGCAGUAGGGAAUCUUCCACAAUGGGCGCAAGCCUGAUGGAGCAACGCCGCGUGAAUGAAGAAGGUCUUCGGAUCGUAAAAUUCUGUUGUUAGAGAAGAAUAUGAGUAAUAGUAACUGAUUAUUCACUGACGGUAUCUAACCAGCAAGUCACGGCUAACUACGUGCCAGCAGCCGCGGUAAUACGUAGGUGGCAAGCGUUGUCCGGAUUUAUUGGGCGUAAAGGGAACGCAGGCGGUUUUUUAAGUCUGAUGUGAAAGCCUUCGGCUUAACCGGAGAUGUGCAUUGGAAACUGGAAGACUUGAGUGCAGAAGAGGAGAGUGGAACUCCAUGUGUAGCGGUGAAAUGCGUAGAUAUAUGGAAGAACACCAGUGGCGAAAGCGGCUCUCUGGUCUGUAACUGACGCUGAGGUUCGAAAGCAUGGGUAGCGAACAGGAUUAGAUACCCUGGUAGUCC